AUUGAACGCUGGCGGCAUGCCUUACACAUGCAAGUCGAACGGUAACGGGUUAAGCUGACGAGUGGCGAACGGGUGAGUAAUGUAUCGGAACGUGCCCAGUCGUGGGGGGAUUACGUAGCGAAAGCUACGCUAAUACCGCAUACGAUCUAUGGAUGAAAGCGGGGGAUCGCAAGACCUCGCGCGAUUGGAGCGGCCGAUAUCAGAUUAGGUAGUUGGUGGGGUAAAGGCCCACCAAGCCGACGAUCUGUAGCUGGUCUGAGAGGACGACCAGCCACACUGGGACUGAGACACGGCCCAGACUCCUACGGGAGGCAGCAGUGGGAAUUUUGGGACAAUGGGCGCAAGCCUGAUCCAGCAAUGCCGCGUGCAGGAUGAAGGCCUUCGGUUGUAAGCUCUUUACCCGGGUAGUGAUAAUGACAGUACC
This 424-nucleotide ribosomal RNA is filed under the name uncultured bacterium. RNAcentral describes it as "bacterial SSU rRNA". It matches the Rfam family "Bacterial small subunit ribosomal RNA", at positions 30 to 479 of the family's 1533-position model. The record is from RNAcentral.